CCGAGCCGAGCGAGGUAUGGUGUUCUUACUGGGAAAUGCUUAGUAGGAACUUCAUACCAUGCUCGGCUCGG
Non-coding RNA from Cordylochernes scorpioides, 71 nucleotides. NCBI's taxonomy places the organism in Eukaryota, Metazoa, Arthropoda, Arachnida, Pseudoscorpiones, Chernetidae. The record is from the annotation of a GenBank genome assembly.